ACCGAAGCUCGUGGCGAUUUACGGCAACUUGCGGCCACGUAAAACAUUUCGCUAAAAAGCCACGUCCCGGGGCUU
Molecule: non-coding RNA, 75 nt
Filed under: Gemmatimonadota bacterium
Lineage: Bacteria; Pseudomonadati; Gemmatimonadota
Source: RNAcentral